CAGAAACUAGUUUAUUAAAAUAGUUAUUUUGGGGAUAACAGAUACAGACUCUACUCUGUGUUUCUGA
RNAcentral lists this transfer RNA (67 nucleotides) under Cucumaria pseudocurata. RNAcentral's name for it is "tRNA-Pro". Lineage: Eukaryota; Metazoa; Echinodermata; Holothuroidea; Dendrochirotida; Cucumariidae. The record is from RNAcentral.